RNAcentral lists this ribosomal RNA (253 nucleotides) under uncultured bacterium. RNAcentral describes it as "partial 16S ribosomal RNA". It matches the Rfam family "Bacterial small subunit ribosomal RNA", at positions 524 to 776 of the family's 1533-position model. The record is from RNAcentral.
UACGAAGGGGGCUAGCGUUGCUCGGAAUCACUGGGCGUAAAGCGCACGUAGGCGGUUUCCUAAGUCGGGGGUGAAAUCCUGGAGCUCAACUCCAGAACUGCCUUCGAUACUGGGAAUCUUGAGUCCGGGAGAGGUGAGUGGAACUGCGAGUGUAGAGGUGAAAUUCGUAGAUAUUCGCAAGAACACCAGUGGCGAAGGCGGCUCACUGGCCCGGUACUGACGCUGAGGUGCGAAAGCGUGGGGAGCAAACAGG